CAGCCGACUCUUUUGGAUAAACUAACACAGCCUUUUCCCUUAAGGCCAGCCAGACUCUUAAGCCUGGGUAGUCUGACUUGACUGUGGAGUCUGGGAUGGAACUGACUCACUGCCACAGUUCUGGUUUCUCACCCCAUGGAAUGAGCAUUGUUGAGGCUCCUCCAGUGAUAAAUGACAGAUGAGGAAACAUGAGCUUUUGAUGAGCUGUCCCGAAGCCCCUCUCUCCUGGUCCUCCCACAAAAUACCGUGACAACCUAACAUUUUCUUUAAGUCCACAUCUCCACCCGCUGACGUCCACUGCUGAACAAGAACUAAGGCCCCACCCCUGUGGAGGAUGGUAACGUCAGGCUGAGCCCAAGAUUCCUGGAGUCUCACCCUGUUACCUCAUCACCAACCAAUCAGAAGAAAGUCUGCACACACUGGAAGAAAACGGAAGACUCUGACUUUCUCCCCAAAUGAUUCUCCCUUUAAGAACGUUCACAGUCCAGCAGAAUCUUUGGAGUUGGUUUUUGGACAAUAGUCUGUUUUCUCUCCAGGUUGCUUUCCAGGUUGCUGGCCUCCUGAAUAAAGAAAC
Molecule: long non-coding RNA, 574 nt
Organism: Hippopotamus amphibius kiboko
Lineage: Eukaryota; Metazoa; Chordata; Mammalia; Artiodactyla; Hippopotamidae
Exons: 3
Source: RefSeq, a predicted model, not a curated record